This is a long non-coding RNA of Sinocyclocheilus grahami, 594 nucleotides long. RefSeq lists it as uncharacterized. The record is from RefSeq and is a predicted model, not a curated record. Lineage: Eukaryota; Metazoa; Chordata; Actinopteri; Cypriniformes; Cyprinidae. The transcript has 2 exons.
CACGGUUCCUUUAUUUAUUUUUCAUGCUUAUUCCUGAUGCCUGAUGUGUUGCACACCUCUAUUUGUAAACAUAGUUUAGUAUCUGUCUAUUAUUAAUUUCUGUGCAUUUAUUUUUCAUAGACAGAAAUAUGAAUCCCUUAAUGAGGACAGGCUUAGGUUGAAACCGUACAGAACCGGCAGCAGAUGAUAUAUGAUGAACUGUCGAAUAUGGAAUAACCUGUAUGCGAAAGUUAUAAUACUACAGUGUAUUGCAAAAUGAAUGAUCUCACAAUGUCAAAUUGUGAUAAUCAAAUAUUUAUAUAACACAGUUUCAGAAUAAUGUUAGUUUAACACUCAAUGACUGCAUAACAUUUAUAUUAAAAAAAUAAAUAGAUUAUUGGUAUGAAAAUAAUAGAGCUUAAUAUAAACUUCACAUUUGAACUUUCUGAACUUUCAACUGCCAGCUGAGUGAAAAUUUUAUUGACAUAUAAUUAUAAAUAAAAUCAUUUGUCAUAAGCAAAAAAGACCUUACUUCAUUUUUGUAGCUCCUUUUAAGCCAAUAGUUCAUGAUAAGAUCCCAGAUUUGAUGGACCUUAAUUUGUAUUUUCAAUUUUA